UACGUAGGGUGCAAGCGUUAAUCGGAAUUACUGGGCGUAAAGCGUGCGCAGGCGGUUAUGUAAGACAGUUGUGAAAUCCCCGGGCUCAACCUGGGAACUGCAUCUGUGACUGCAUAGCUAGAGUACGGUAGAGGGGGAUGGAAUUCCGCGUGUAGCAGUGAAAUGCGUAGAGAUCGGGCGGAACACCAGCGGCGAAGGCGGCAUCCUGGCCCGUACCUGACGCUGAGGCGCGAGAGCGUGGGGAGCAAACCGG
This 253-nucleotide ribosomal RNA is filed under the name uncultured bacterium. RNAcentral describes it as "partial 16S ribosomal RNA". It matches the Rfam family "Bacterial small subunit ribosomal RNA", at positions 524 to 776 of the family's 1533-position model. The record is from RNAcentral.